RNAcentral lists this ribosomal RNA (509 nucleotides) under uncultured bacterium. RNAcentral's name for it is "bacterial SSU rRNA". It matches the Rfam family "Bacterial small subunit ribosomal RNA", at positions 28 to 519 of the family's 1533-position model. The record is from RNAcentral.
GACGAACGCUGGCGGCGUGGAUUAGGCAUGCAAGUCGGACGGUAGGGCUUUAUCGUAAGAUAGAGUUUGAGAGUGGCGAACGGGUGAGUAACACGUAGGAAUCUACCCUUAAGACGGGGACAACCCAGGGAAACUUGGGCUAAUACCGGAUGAGAGUGCGAGAGAUUGCAUUUAAAAGGAUGGCGAAAGUUGUCGCUUAGGGAUGAGCCUGCGGUCUAUUAGUUAGUUGGUGAGGUAAGAGCUCACCAAGGCGAUGAUAGAUAGGCGGCCUUAACGGGUGGUCGCCCACACUGGGAUUGAGAUACGGCCCAGACUCCUACGGGAGGCAGCAGUCGAGAAUAGUCUACAAUGGCCGGAAGGCUGAUAGUGCGACGCCGCGUGAACGAGGGAGCCCUUCGGGUGUAAGUUACUUUUCUUAUACGAGCAGUGCUAUAUAUAUGGAUAGUAUAUAUUAGAGGGAGUAGUAGUAUAGGAAUAAGAACGGCUAACUCCGUCGCCAGCAGCCGACC